Unclassified non-coding RNA from Piliocolobus tephrosceles (Ugandan red Colobus), 294 nucleotides. It matches the Rfam family "Metazoan signal recognition particle RNA". Rfam says of the family: The signal recognition particle (SRP) is a universally conserved ribonucleoprotein. It is involved in the co-translational targeting of proteins to membranes. The eukaryotic SRP consists of a 300-nucleotide 7S RNA and six proteins: SRPs 72, 68, 54, 19, 14, and 9. The record is from Ensembl. Lineage: Eukaryota; Metazoa; Chordata; Mammalia; Primates; Cercopithecidae.
GUCAGGCGCAGUGGCUUAUGCCUGUAAUCCCAGCACUUUGGGAGGCCAAGGCGGGCAGAUCACGAGGUCAGGAGUUUGAGACCAGCCUGGCCAAUAUGGUGAAACUGCAUCUCUACAAAAAAUACAAAAAUUAGACAGGUGUGGUGGCACAUGCCUGUAGUUCCAGCUACUUGGGAGGCUGAGGCAGAAGAAUCUCUUGAACUUGGCUAAUUUUUGUAUUUUUAGUAGAGAGGUGGUUUCACCAUGUUGGCCAAGCUGAUCUCGAACUCCUGAUCUCGUGAUUCGCCUGCCUCA